Molecule: ribosomal RNA, 232 nt
Filed under: uncultured bacterium
Lineage: Bacteria
Description: partial 16S ribosomal RNA
Rfam family: Bacterial small subunit ribosomal RNA
Source: RNAcentral
UGAGCAACCUGCCCUUGACUCUGGAAUAACAGUUGGAAACAGCUGCUAAUACCGGAUAUGACUUUGUGUGACAUCACACGAAGUGGAAAGCCCUGGCGGUCAAGGAUGGGCUCGCGGCCUAUCAGCUUGUUGGUGAGGUAACGGCUCACCAAGGCUUCGACGGGUAGCCGGCCUGGGAGGGCGACCGGCCACACUGGGACUGAGAUACGGCCCAGACUCCGUACGGGAGCAG